RNAcentral lists this ribosomal RNA (497 nucleotides) under uncultured bacterium. RNAcentral's name for it is "partial 16S ribosomal RNA". It matches the Rfam family "Bacterial small subunit ribosomal RNA", at positions 28 to 507 of the family's 1533-position model. The record is from RNAcentral.
GAUGAACGCUGGCGGCGUGCCUAAUACAUGCAAGUCGAGCGAACAGACGAGGAGCUUGCUCCUCUGACGUUAGCGGCGGACGGGUGAGUAACACGUGGAUAACCUACCUAUAAGACUGGGAUAACUUCGGGACACCGGAGCUAAUACCGGAUAAUAUAUUGAACCGCAUGGUUCAAUAGUGAAAGACGGUUUUGCUGUCACUUAUAGAUGGAUCCGCGCCGCAUUAGCUAGUUGGUAAGGUAACGGCUUACCAAGGCAACGAUGCGUAGCCGACCUGAGAGGGUGAUCGGCCACACUGGAACUGAGACACGGUCCAUACUCCUACGGGAGGCAGCAGUAGGGAAUCUUCCGCAAUGGGCGAAAGCCUGACGGAGCAACGCCGCGUGAGUGAUGAAGGUCUUCGGAUCGUAAAACUCUGUUAUGAGGGAAGAACAAAUGUGUAAGUAACUAUGCACGUCUUGACGGUACCUAAUCAGAAAGCCACGGCUAACUACGUG